RNAcentral lists this ribosomal RNA (446 nucleotides) under uncultured bacterium. RNAcentral describes it as "partial 16S ribosomal RNA". It matches the Rfam family "Bacterial small subunit ribosomal RNA", at positions 338 to 795 of the family's 1533-position model. The record is from RNAcentral.
CCUACGGGAGGCAGCAGUGAGGAAUAUUGGUCAAUGGGGGGAACCCUGACCGAGCAACGCCGCGUGAACGAAGAAGUUAUUCGUAAUGUAAAGUUCUUUUAACAGGGAAGAAAGAGAAAUUUGACGGUACCUGAAGAAUAAGCUCCGGCUAACUACGUGCCAGCAGCCGCGGUAAUACGUAGGGAGCGAGCGUUAUCCGGAAUUAUUGGGCGUAAAGGGUGCGUAGAUGGCAUAGUAAGUCUUUUGUAAAAAUGCUGGGCUCAACCCAGUAGGGCAAAAGAUACUGCAAAGCUAGAGUAUGACAGAGGCAAGUGGAACUACAUGUGUAGCGGUAAAAUGCGUAGAUAUAUGUAAGAACACCAGUGGCGAAGGCGGCUUGCUGGGUCGAUACUGACAUUGAGGCACGAAAGCGUGGGGAGCAAACAGGAUUAGAUACCCGAGUAGUC